This 614-nucleotide ribosomal RNA is filed under the name uncultured fungus. Its description in RNAcentral is "eukaryotic LSU rRNA". It matches the Rfam family "Eukaryotic large subunit ribosomal RNA", at positions 24 to 664 of the family's 3401-position model. The record is from RNAcentral. Lineage: Eukaryota; Fungi.
CCCGCUGAACUUAAGCAUAUCAAUAAGCGGAGGAAAAGAAACUAACAAGGAUUCCCCUAGUAACGGCGAGUGAAGCGGGAACAGCUCAAAUUUGAAAUCUCACUUCGGUGCGAAUUGUAGUUUAGAGAAACGUUUUCGGUCUUGACAUUGGGUACAAGUCCAUUGGAACAUGGCAUCACAGAGGGUGAAAAUCCCGUCUAUGAUCCAAUGCUCAAGGCCAUAUGAUACGUUUUCCAAGAGUCGGUUUGUUUGGGAAUGCAGACCAAAAUGGGUGGUAAAUACCAUCUAAAGCUAAAUAUUGGCGAGAGACCGAUAGCGAACAAGUACCGUGAGGGAAAGAUGAAAAGAACUUUGAAAAGAGAGUUAAACAGUACGUGAAAUUGUCAAAAGGGAAACGCUUGAAACCAGUAUUGCCUGCUAGAUUUAGCUGUCAUUUAUGGCAGUGUCCUUUCUAGUUGGCAAGUCAACAUCAGUUUGGCUUGGUGUAAAAAGCUCGAGGAAGGUGGCCCUUUGGGUGUUAUAGCCUCGAGUCAUGCAUUGAGCUGGACUGAGGUCUGCAGCUUUUGCUUAGGAUGUUGACGAAAUGGUUUUAAACGACCCGUCUUGAAACACGG